RNAcentral lists this long non-coding RNA (1222 nucleotides) under Triticum aestivum (bread wheat). Its description in RNAcentral is "long non-coding RNA (TAES_LNC007675)". The record is from RNAcentral. Lineage: Eukaryota; Viridiplantae; Streptophyta; Magnoliopsida; Poales; Poaceae.
AUGUUGCAAGACAAAAUAAGAUCCAGUAUAUUAAUUAGUACAGUUCAUGCAUACACCAAAAUCCAUCCAAAUAAAAUCAGAAAUUCUCUGAAUUUUUAGUACACCACAUACACCACUAGCACGCAGAUAACUUAACUAAUUCCUCUGAGCUGCAAAAUAUCUCAACUAAUCAGGAUGACCUCCAACUCACGGACCUCCAAUCUGACCAAAGAAUCACCGCCGGCCCCAAUAUCAAUCACCUCUUCUGUCCCGGUGGGAUCAUCUUUUGAAUUCUUCCCUCCUGUAGUAGAGGGGUCAUCUUUAGUCUCUUCACAUAUACACGCAGCAGGGUUGGCAUAGAAUUUGCCGUUUGUAUGGAAAUAUGGAAAGAGUGCAUUGAGGGCUUGUAUGGAAAUAUGGAAUCAACUCACCUUUGCUUGCGAACUAUCUAAGUAUUGAGAUCUGAAACUAUUCAUACAUGUAAGUUUUGCAUCGCUUGCAAACGGCACCUUGCUCUUUCCUCUCCUUUCCUCCGCCCCAUAGUAACACCCUAAAGGCAAGCAUAUCACUUUCAAAUCUGCCAUAAAGCCAUGGAACACAUGUUGAAAAAUACAAAAGCAUAAAGAUGCAUGCUGUAAUAUUUUACAAACAAAAUAUUAUUUCACUUUCUUCUUUUCUUUUGAUUAAUUAGCCAAUUAGCCUUCAUAAAUUUGGUGCUCCAUUAUAUUGUAGAUAAAGAUAAGAGAACUCAUUGGCUCUGAAAGGCAACUAAAUGAUAAUCACUAAAUUGUACUGGCAUUUUCUGUACUUGGAUAAAUAAAAUUCAUGCUUCAUUCCUUCCAAAAGAGUGAAGCGGGGAAUAUCCUCAAACUAGAAAUGUCAAAACAAUGUUUCUCAGUGGGAAAAAAUUAGGGUGCUAAUAAAAAACAAUAGAUGGCCACAAGCAACAUACGAGAAGAAACUAAAUACUGAGAAAGAGUCCAGGUCUCUUCUAUUUCUCGAUGAACUAAUAAGUUAUAUCAUGGUAUGAAGUGAGUCAUGCACAACCACAUCAGCCAUGCUACAUUUUCCAAUGAAAUGUCAGUUUUGUCCACACAUACAAACUGCGCAAGUUGCAUGCAGCCUUCUACAAAUUACUUGCAAAUGUACAAGGGUAACUUACUUUUUAUCCUUGUUAGUUUAAAAAGGACACCACAGCUUCACUAUGACUCUCAUACAAGCUAAGAUUCACAACAAUUUCUCC